RNAcentral lists this ribosomal RNA (253 nucleotides) under uncultured bacterium. RNAcentral's name for it is "partial 16S ribosomal RNA". It matches the Rfam family "Bacterial small subunit ribosomal RNA", at positions 524 to 776 of the family's 1533-position model. The record is from RNAcentral.
CACGUAGGGGGCAAGCGUUGUCCGGAUUUAUUGGGCGUAAAGAGCUCGUAGGCGGUUUCGUAAGUCGGGUGUGAAAGCCCGGGGCUUAACCCCGGGUCUGCAUUCGAUACGGGCUAGCUAGAGUGUGGUAGGGGAGAUCGGAAUUCCUGGUGUAGCGGUGAAAUGCGCAGAUAUCAGGAGGAACACCGGUGGCGAAGGCGGCUACCUGGCCCAACAUUGACACUGAGACCCGAAAGCGUGGGGAUCAAACAGG